UCGAGCGGAAACGAGUUAUCUGAACCUUCGGGGAACGAUAACGGCGUCGAGCGGCGGACGGGUGAGUAAUGCCUAGGAAAUUGCCCUGAUGUGGGGGAUAACCAUUGGAAACGAUGGCUAAUACCGCAUGAUGCCUACGGGCCAAAGAGGGGGACCUUCGGGCCUCUCGCGUCAGGAUAUGCCUAGGUGGGAUUAGCUAGUUGGUGAGGUAAGGGCUCACCAAGGCGACGAUCCCUAGCUGGUCUGAGAGGAUGAUCAGCCACACUGGAACUGAGACACGGUCCAGACUCCUACGGGAGGCAGCAGUGGGGAAUAUUGCACAAUGGGCGCAAGCCUGAUGCAGCCAUGCCGCGUGUGUGAAGAAGGCCUUCGGGUUGUAAAGCACUUUCAGUCGUGAGGAAGGUAGUGUAGUUAAUAGCUGCAUUAUUUGACGUUAGCGACAGAAGAAGCACCGGCUAACUCCGUGCCAGCAGCCGCGGUAAUACGGAGGGUGCGAGCGUUAAUCGGAAUUACUGGGCGUAAAGCGCAUGCAGGUGGUUUGUUAAGUCAGAUGUGAAAGCCCGGGGCUCAACCUCGGAAUUGCAUUUGAAACUGGCAGACUAGAGUACUGUAGAGGGGGGUAGAAUUUCAGGUGUAGCGGUGAAAUGCGUAGAGAUCUGAAGGAAUACCGGUGGCGAAGGCGGCCCCCUGGACAGAUACUGACACUCAGAUGCGAAAGCGUGGGGAGCAAACAGGAUUAGAUACCCUGGUAGUCCACGCCGUAAACGAUGUCUACUUGGAGGUUGUGGCCUUGAGCCGUGGCUUUCGGAGCUAACGCGUUAAGUAGACCGCCUGGGGAGUACGGUCGCAAGAUUAAAACUCAAAUGAAUUGACGGGGGCCCGCACAAGCGGUGGAGCAUGUGGUUUAAUUCGAUGCAACGCGAAGAACCUUACCUACUCUUGACAUCCAGAGAACUUUCCAGAGAUGGAUUGGUGCCUUCGGGAACUCUGAGACAGGUGCUGCAUGGCUGUCGUCAGCUCGUGUUGUGAAAUGUUGGGUUAAGUCCCGCAACGAGCGCAACCCUUAUCCUUGUUUGCCAGCGAGUAAUGUCGGGAACUCCAGGGAGACUGCCGGUGAUAAACCGGAGGAAGGUGGGGACGACGUCAAGUCAUCAUGGCCCUUACGAGUAGGGCUACACACGUGCUACAAUGGCGCAUACAGAGGGCGGCCAACUUGCGAAAGUGAGCGAAUCCCAAAAAGUGCGUCGUAGUCCGGAUUGGAGUCUGCAACUCGACUCCAUGAAGUCGGAAUCGCUAGUAAUC
Molecule: ribosomal RNA, 1302 nt
Filed under: Vibrio parahaemolyticus
Lineage: Bacteria; Pseudomonadati; Pseudomonadota; Gammaproteobacteria; Vibrionales; Vibrionaceae
Description: bacterial SSU rRNA
Rfam family: Bacterial small subunit ribosomal RNA
Source: RNAcentral